Long non-coding RNA from Larimichthys crocea (large yellow croaker), 434 nucleotides. RefSeq lists it as uncharacterized. Lineage: Eukaryota; Metazoa; Chordata; Actinopteri; Sciaenidae. The record is from RefSeq and is a predicted model, not a curated record. The transcript is spliced from 5 exons.
UUCUUGCUUCUGGCUAUCAAAAGGGCUUUUUCAUGGAAAAUGGGCAACUUGGCAUGAACGCAGGGAAAAGUUGGACUACAUCCAUAGCUACAGAGAUGCAGUGAUAACCGUUUCCAUCCAGGCUCGCUGAAUUCAAGCGCUGAUGCAGAGGCUGUAUUAGACUUGGCAAAACAGGCAGCAAAUAUUCACUCCAUAUCACAUGUACAGGUAAUACCACUGGAAAGGCCCAUCUGGGAGCCAUGCACCUACAACAGAGCAUCAUCGAUCCUGGCCGGUGCAAAAAAGAGACUUGGGCUCGGAAAGCUUGAACCGCCAAUAUUUCCUAAAAAGAAGCUGGUCGUCAGAGAAACUUUGAAGAAGGAGGGUCAGGAGAACAUCAGGAUAACGGAGGAGUCAGAGAAAAAGGCCAGUCAAAAAUCAACAUACAACAAUGA